This 460-nucleotide ribosomal RNA is filed under the name uncultured bacterium. RNAcentral describes it as "partial 16S ribosomal RNA". It matches the Rfam family "Bacterial small subunit ribosomal RNA", at positions 338 to 795 of the family's 1533-position model. The record is from RNAcentral.
CCUACGGGAGGCAGCAGUGAGGAAUAUUGGUCAAUGGACGAGAGUCUGAACCAGCCAAGUAGCGUGAAGGAUGACUGCCCUAUGGGUUGUAAACUUCUUUUAUAUGGGAAUAAAAUGUUCCACGUGUGGGAUUUUGUAUGUACCCUAUGAAUAAGGAUCGGCUAACUCCGUGCCAGCAGCCGCGGUAAUACGGAGGAUCCGAGCGUUAUCCGGAUUUAUUGGGUUUAAAGGGAGCGUAGAUGGAUUGUUAAGUCAGUUGUGAAAGUUUGCGGCUCAACCGUAAAAUUGCAGUUGAAACUGGCAGUCUUGAGUACAGUAGAGGUGGGCGGAAUUCGAGGUGUAGCGGUGAAAUGCUUAGAUAUCACGAAGAACUCCGAUUGCGAAGGCAGUUCACUGGACUGCAACUGACACUGAGGCUCGAAAGUGUGGGUAUCAAACAGGAUUAGAUACCCCAGUAGUC